GGUCAAGCUACAAAGCUACUCGUGU
RNAcentral lists this ribosomal RNA (25 nucleotides) under Synechococcus sp. MI0607B. RNAcentral's name for it is "partial 23S ribosomal RNA". Lineage: Bacteria; Bacillati; Cyanobacteriota; Cyanophyceae; Synechococcales; Synechococcaceae. The record is from RNAcentral.